This 353-nucleotide unclassified non-coding RNA is filed under the name soil metagenome. RNAcentral describes it as "partial contains 5.8S ribosomal RNA, internal transcribed spacer 2, and large subunit ribosomal RNA". The stretch from base 1 to 120 matches the Rfam family "5.8S ribosomal RNA", at positions 35 to 154 of the family's 154-position model. The record is from RNAcentral.
GAUGAAGAACGCAGCGAAAUGCGAUAAGUAAUGUGAAUUGCAGAAUUCAGUGAAUCAUCGAAUCUUUGAACGCACAUUGCGCCCGCCAGUAUUCUGGCGGGCAUGCCUGUUCGAGCGUCAUUACAACCCUCAGGCCCCCGGGCCUGGCGUUGGGGAUCGGCGGAAGCCCCCUGCGGGCUCAACGCCGUCCCCCAAAUACAGUGGCGGUCCCGCCGCAGCUUCCAUUGCGUAGUAGCUAACACCUCGCAACUGGAGAGCGGCGCGGCCACGCCGUAAAACACCCAACUUCUGAAUGUUGACCUCGAAUCAGGUAGGAAUACCCGCUGAACUUAAGCAUAUCAAUAAGCGGAGGA